This 540-nucleotide ribosomal RNA is filed under the name Salmonella enterica subsp. enterica serovar Ordonez. RNAcentral's name for it is "partial 16S ribosomal RNA". It matches the Rfam family "Bacterial small subunit ribosomal RNA", at positions 993 to 1533 of the family's 1533-position model. The record is from RNAcentral. RNAcentral also lists the same sequence under 5 other names. Lineage: Bacteria; Pseudomonadati; Pseudomonadota; Gammaproteobacteria; Enterobacterales; Enterobacteriaceae.
GAAGUUUUCAGAGAUGAGAAUGUGCCUUCGGGAACCGUGAGACAGGUGCUGCAUGGCUGUCGUCAGCUCGUGUUGUGAAAUGUUGGGUUAAGUCCCGCAACGAGCGCAACCCUUAUCCUUUGUUGCCAGCGAUUAGGUCGGGAACUCAAAGGAGACUGCCAGUGAUAAACUGGAGGAAGGUGGGGAUGACGUCAAGUCAUCAUGGCCCUUACGACCAGGGCUACACACGUGCUACAAUGGCGCAUACAAAGAGAAGCGACCUCGCGAGAGCAAGCGGACCUCAUAAAGUGCGUCGUAGUCCGGAUUGGAGUCUGCAACUCGACUCCAUGAAGUCGGAAUCGCUAGUAAUCGUGGAUCAGAAUGCCACGGUGAAUACGUUCCCGGGCCUUGUACACACCGCCCGUCACACCAUGGGAGUGGGUUGCAAAAGAAGUAGGUAGCUUAACCUUCGGGAGGGCGCUUACCACUUUGUGAUUCAUGACUGGGGUGAAGUCGUAACAAGGUAACCGUAGGGGAACCUGCGGUUGGAUCACCUCCUUA